Molecule: long non-coding RNA, 950 nt
Filed under: Salvia miltiorrhiza (redroot sage)
Lineage: Eukaryota; Viridiplantae; Streptophyta; Magnoliopsida; Lamiales; Lamiaceae
Description: long non-coding RNA (SMIL_LNC014124)
Source: RNAcentral
AAGAAAUAAAACGACCACGACCGAGGAACGUCGUCAGUCCAAGGUAGAUGACCACAGGGUUCAUCCUCGUCCCUACACCGGAAAUCAGGAAACUCCAGCAUGGGCUGGAAAGGAAAUUCCUGAGGUUGGACAGAAACUGAACUCUUCUUCAGACUCUCCUACCUCAUCCAAUCCCUUUGCUGUGUUGGUUUCUCUAGAGUUGCAAGAUGAACAGAGACUUGUUGGUGAUGAUAACAUGGACAAGCCGCCUUCUGAUGGAGACCGAGCUUCAGAUGCUUGCAUCCCUCAGGACAGUCAGGGUAGAAAGGAUAUGGAACACCCUGGGUCAGAUGACGAAAAGAGCCAAAUUGAGGUAGUUGAGCAGGAAUACGAGAGGAGUUCUGCACCUCUGACUGUUCAGCCGCUUGCUGUUGUGACUGACAACAACGCUGUGCUAACUUUGACUGGGACGACAGGACCCAUUUCUCGUACACGAGGGCGUCCGAAAGGGGCUAUCACCAAGAAGGGGAGAGUUUCUGAUUCUCUAUCAAGCACAGGCUCCUUCGUAUCAUAAUCAAUGGCAUGUCUUCGGAUUUCCAAAACUCAGCACGCCGUGACGAUAUGCAUGGCCCAGGUCUUGACACUUCUUCGCCUGUGGAGUUCCUGAAUAAAGUGAAGUAUGCUCAGUCUCGAGGACAUAUACUGCAAAACUUUGUGAUCAACUCCUCUAACUCUACCGAUGCAGCCCAUGCUAUGUCGGUUGUGGCCUCUUCAAAAAUGAAGAAAAAAUGGGGCGAUAUGUUGGACGAUGAAGAGGACGAUUUAGACGAGGACGACCCUCUUAAAAUGUUCUCUUAGUCUUGGUUUGUUUUUUGGUUACCCGGGGUUUCUUGCGGGUGCUUUUGCUUGCUUCCUCUGUAUCUGGUCUCUCUUUUUUUCUUUUUCUUUUUAAUAAAAUUUCUAUUUCAGCA